Molecule: ribosomal RNA, 433 nt
Filed under: uncultured bacterium
Lineage: Bacteria
Description: partial 16S ribosomal RNA
Rfam family: Bacterial small subunit ribosomal RNA
Source: RNAcentral
GACGAACGCUGGCGGCAUGCCUAACACAUGCAAGUCGAACGAGACCGUCGGGUCUGGUGGCGCACGGGUGCGUAACGCGUGGGAACCUGCCCUUAGGUUCGGAAUAACUCCCCGAGAGGGGUGCUAAUACCGGAUAAUGUCUUCGGACCAAAGAUUUAUCGCCUUUGGAUGGGCCCGCGUUGGUUUAGCUAGUUGGUAGGGUAAAAGCCUACCACGGCGAGGAUCCAUAGCUGGGCUGAGAGGAUGAUCAGCCACACUGGGACUGAGACACGGCCCAGACUCCUACGGGAGGCAGCAGUGGGGAAUAUUGGACAAUGGGCGAAAGCCUGAUCCAGCAAUGCCGCGUGAGUGAUGAAGGCCUUAGGGUCGUAAAGCUCUUUUAACCGGGAUGAUAAUGACAGUACCGGGAGAAUAAGCGCCGGCUAACUCCGUG